UACGUAGGGUGCGAGCGUUGUCCGGAAUUAUUGGGCGUAAAGGGCUCGUGGGCGGUUUGUCGCGUCGGGAGUGAAAACCAGGUGCUUAACACCUGGCUUGCUUUCGAUACGGGCAGACUAGAGGUAUGCAGGGGAGAACGGAAUUCCUGGUGUAGCGGUGAAAUGCGCAGAUAUCAGGAGGAACACCGGUGGCGAAGGCGGUUCUCUGGGCAUGACCUGACGCUGAGGAGCGAAAGUGUGGGGAGCGAACAGG
RNAcentral lists this ribosomal RNA (253 nucleotides) under uncultured bacterium. RNAcentral describes it as "partial 16S ribosomal RNA". It matches the Rfam family "Bacterial small subunit ribosomal RNA", at positions 524 to 776 of the family's 1533-position model. The record is from RNAcentral.